GCUGGGCAUGGUGGCACAUGCCUGUAAUCCCAGUGGCUCAGGAGGCUUAGGUAUGAGCAUCACGAGUUUAAAGCCAUCCUCAGCAAAAGUGAGGCUUUAAGCAACUCGGUGAGACCUUGUGUCUAAA
Molecule: small RNA, 127 nt
Filed under: Marmota monax (woodchuck)
Lineage: Eukaryota; Metazoa; Chordata; Mammalia; Rodentia; Sciuridae
Source: RNAcentral